UGAGUACCGAAAGACAGGUGAGAAUCCUGUCCACCGAUUGACUAAGGUUUCCUGGGGAUGGCUCGUCCGCCCAGGGUUAGUCGGGACCUAAGCCGAGGCAGACAGGCGUAGGCGAUGGAUAACAGGUUGAUAUUCCUGUACCCGUUGUUUUUGUUUGAGCAAUGAAGGGACGCAGGAGGCUAAGGAAUGCAGACGAUCGGAAAUGUCUGUCCAAGCACUAAGACUGAAGAGGAGUCAACAUCUUCUAUACUUAAGGAAAACCUGUCAUG
This 269-nucleotide ribosomal RNA is filed under the name Enterococcus faecium. RNAcentral's name for it is "partial 23S ribosomal RNA". It matches the Rfam family "Bacterial large subunit ribosomal RNA", at positions 1303 to 1568 of the family's 2925-position model. Lineage: Bacteria; Bacillati; Bacillota; Bacilli; Lactobacillales; Enterococcaceae. The record is from RNAcentral.